ACUCAAAGGAAUUGACGGGGGCCCGCACAAGCAGCGGAGCGUGUGGUUUAAUUCGACGCAACGCGCAGAACCUUACCAAGGCUUGACAUGGCCGCGACAACGGGUGAAAGCCCGUCUCCCGCAAGGGCGCGGUCACAGGUGUUGCAUGGCUGUCGUCAGCUCGUGCCGUGAGGUGUUGGGUUAAGUCCCGCAACGAGCGCAACCCCCGGUGCCAGUUAGGCUGUCUGGCGCGACCGCCGGGAGCAACCCGGAGGAAGGCGGGGAUGACGUCAAGUCGGCACGGCCCUUACGUCUUGGGCGACACACACGCUACAAUGGCCGGGACAGCGGGCUGCGAACCUGCAAAGGGGAGCCAAUCCCUGCAAACCCGGUCUCAGUGCAGAUGGAGGGCUGCAACUCGCCCUCCUGAAGGCGGAGUUGCUAGUAACCGCCGGUCAGCACACGGCGGUGAAUAUGUUCCCGGGCCUUGCACACACCGCCCGU
This 483-nucleotide ribosomal RNA is filed under the name uncultured bacterium. RNAcentral describes it as "partial 16S ribosomal RNA". It matches the Rfam family "Bacterial small subunit ribosomal RNA", at positions 899 to 1397 of the family's 1533-position model. The record is from RNAcentral.